This is a ribosomal RNA of 2911 nucleotides. It matches the Rfam family "Bacterial large subunit ribosomal RNA".
UUAAGGGCGCACGGUGGAUGCCUUGGCACUAGAAGCCGAUGAAGGACGUUACUAACGACGAUAUGCUUUGGGGAGCUGUAAGUAAGCUUUGAUCCAGAGAUUUCCGAAUGGGGAAACCCAGCAUGAGUUAUGUCAUGUUAUCGAUAUGUGAAUACAUAGCAUAUCAGAAGGCACACCCGGAGAACUGAAACAUCUUAGUACCCGGAGGAAGAGAAAGAAAAUUCGAUUCCCUUAGUAGCGGCGAGCGAAACGGGAAGAGCCCAAACCAACAAGCUUGCUUGUUGGGGUUGUAGGACACUCUAUACGGAGUUACAAAGGACGACAUUAGACGAAUCAUCUGGAAAGAUGAAUCAAAGAAGGUAAUAAUCCUGUAGUCGAAAAUGUUGUCUCUCUUGAGUGGAUCCUGAGUACGACGGAACACGUGAAAUUCCGUCGGAAUCUGGGAGGACCAUCUCCUAAGGCUAAAUACUCUCUAGUGACCGAUAGUGAACCAGUACCGUGAGGGAAAGGUGAAAAGCACCCCGGAAGGGGAGUGAAAUAGAACCUGAAACCGUGUGCUUACAAGUAGUCAGAGCCCGUUAAUGGGUGAUGGCGUGCCUUUUGUAGAAUGAACCGGCGAGUUACGAUUUGAUGCAAGGUUAAGCAGUAAAUGUGGAGCCGUAGCGAAAGCGAGUCUGAAUAGGGCGUUUAGUAUUUGGUCGUAGACCCGAAACCAGGUGAUCUACCCUUGGUCAGGUUGAAGUUCAGGUAACACUGAAUGGAGGACCGAACCGACUUACGUUGAAAAGUGAGCGGAUGAACUGAGGGUAGCGGAGAAAUUCCAAUCGAACCUGGAAAUAGCUGGUUCUCUCCGAAAUAGCUUUAGGGCUAGCCUCAAGUGAUGAUUAUUGGAGGUAGAGCACUGUUUGGACGAGGGGCCCCUCUCGGGUUACCGAAUUCAGACAAACUCCGAAUGCCAAUUAAUUUAACUUGGGAGUCAGAACAUGGGUGAUAAGGUCCGUGUUCGAAAGGGAAACAGCCCAGACCACCAGCUAAGGUCCCAAAAUAUAUGUUAAGUGGAAAAGGAUGUGGCGUUGCCCAGACAACUAGGAUGUUGGCUUAGAAGCAGCCAUCAUUUAAAGAGUGCGUAAUAGCUCACUAGUCGAGUGACACUGCGCCGAAAAUGUACCGGGGCUAAACAUAUUACCGAAGCUGUGGAUUGUCCUUUGGACAAUGGUAGGAGAGCGUUCUAAGGGCGUUGAAGCAUGAUCGUAAGGACAUGUGGAGCGCUUAGAAGUGAGAAUGCCGGUGUGAGUAGCGAAAGACGGGUGAGAAUCCCGUCCACCGAUUGACUAAGGUUUCCAGAGGAAGGCUCGUCCGCUCUGGGUUAGUCGGGUCCUAAGCUGAGGCCGACAGGCGUAGGCGAUGGAUAACAGGUUGAUAUUCCUGUACCACCUAUAAUCGUUUUAAUCGAUGGGGGGACGCAGUAGGAUAGGCGAAGCGUGCGAUUGGAUUGCACGUCUAAGCAGUAAGGCUGAGUAUUAGGCAAAUCCGGUACUCGUUAAGGCUGAGCUGUGAUGGGGAGAAGACAUUGAGUCUUCGAGUCGUUGAUUUCACACUGCCGAGAAAAGCCUCUAGAUAGAAAAUAGGUGCCCGUACCGCAAACCGACACAGGUAGUCAAGAUGAGAAUUCUAAGGUGAGCGAGCGAACUCUCGUUAAGGAACUCGGCAAAAUGACCCCGUAACUUCGGGAGAAGGGGUGCUCUUUAGGGUUAACGCCCAGAAGAGCCGCAGUGAAUAGGCCCAAGCGACUGUUUAUCAAAAACACAGGUCUCUGCUAAACCGUAAGGUGAUGUAUAGGGGCUGACGCCUGCCCGGUGCUGGAAGGUUAAGAGGAGUGGUUAGCUUCUGCGAAGCUACGAAUCGAAGCCCCAGUAAACGGCGGCCGUAACUAUAACGGUCCUAAGGUAGCGAAAUUCCUUGUCGGGUAAGUUCCGACCCGCACGAAAGGCGUAACGAUUUGGGCACUGUCUCAACGAGAGACUCGGUGAAAUCAUAGUACCUGUGAAGAUGCAGGUUACCCGCGACAGGACGGAAAGACCCCGUGGAGCUUUACUGUAGCCUGAUAUUGAAAUUCGGCACAGCUUGUACAGGAUAGGUAGGAGCCUUUGAAACGUGAGCGCUAGCUUACGUGGAGGCGCUGGUGGGAUACUACCCUAGCUGUGUUGGCUUUCUAACCCGCACCACUUAUCGUGGUGGGAGACAGUGUCAGGCGGGCAGUUUGACUGGGGCGGUCGCCUCCUAAAAGGUAACGGAGGCGCUCAAAGGUUCCCUCAGAAUGGUUGGAAAUCAUUCAUAGAGUGUAAAGGCAUAAGGGAGCUUGACUGCGAGACCUACAAGUCGAGCAGGGUCGAAAGACGGACUUAGUGAUCCGGUGGUUCCGCAUGGAAGGGCCAUCGCUCAACGGAUAAAAGCUACCCCGGGGAUAACAGGCUUAUCUCCCCCAAGAGUUCACAUCGACGGGGAGGUUUGGCACCUCGAUGUCGGCUCAUCGCAUCCUGGGGCUGUAGUCGGUCCCAAGGGUUGGGCUGUUCGCCCAUUAAAGCGGUACGCGAGCUGGGUUCAGAACGUCGUGAGACAGUUCGGUCCCUAUCCGUCGUGGGCGUAGGAAAUUUGAGAGGAGCUGUCCUUAGUACGAGAGGACCGGGAUGGACAUACCUCUGGUGUACCAGUUGUCGUGCCAACGGCAUAGCUGGGUAGCUAUGUGUGGACGGGAUAAGUGCUGAAAGCAUCUAAGCAUGAAGCCCCCCUCAAGAUGAGAUUUCCCAACUUCGGUUAUAAGAUCCCUCAAAGAUGAUGAGGUUAAUAGGUUCGAGGUGGAAGCAUGGUGACAUGUGGAGCUGACGAAUACUAAUCGAUCGAAGACUUAAUC